GGGGUGAGACAGAAAAGCUCGGCUGCGGGUGCACGGGAGCAGCACUGGCCAAGGGUGAGGGAAACCCGCCAUGUUCAGCCUUGCUCUCACCCACCGGCUUGCUGGGUGGUGAGCCACCAGGGUGGACACAUGAGGACAACCCAGUGUCAUUUGGAGGAGCAGUGAUGUCUCUGACAUGCUCUGUAAGCACAGUCGCCUGCCUGUGGGGCCGGAGCACCAGUUUGCUGUCAAAUUAGACUCGAGAAGUCAUAAAAUAAUUGCAGUAACAUCUUCAAGCUGUUUUCAUCGAUGCUGCAAAGGCAAUAACCCUGAAAUGUCACAGCUGCAGAUUUGUAUCACACAGAUAAGAUGGGUGCCUGGAGCUGCUGGUGGUACUCCAGCCUGCACAGGAGGAUGCUUGGAUGGAGGCAGGUCCAGACCUGUGUGGAUGGCCGGUGUCCCUCUCUCAUGGCAGCAGCAUCCUAAACAAACGCAGCAUCUUGCUCCUCGGAGUAAUUUUCCCAGGAGUUAUGGCUGCAGAUGUAUUAUUUUGCUUUUUGACCUGCCUGCCUCCCAGGAAAAACUCCAUUUCAUUGAUCGGGCCAUUUCAAGCUCAUUGCAGGGCUGCCAAUAGCUAAGCCAUAACAGUAAUUUUAACCUCUGCAUUUUCUCCUAGUGUUUAGUGUCAGUGUUAUAAAGUACCACUCCAAAUAUAAGCACAGGCAGUCAAUUAUUUUAAUCUUUAUUACAUUGGAAUGUACAGCAGCUUCUCCUGAGCAAAAAACACUGUGUCUGAUACUCCGCAGAGUGGGUUUGGCUGGGAAAUGGCAUCCAACCACUUUGGGAAGCUCCAUCCCACCACGGCACACAUCAGCCGAGCUCAUGGACACCCCCUGGAUUCAUUUGUCAGGUCAGCCACAGCACGAACAACACCCCCAGCACCCAACUCCUGCCUUUGGAAGGGAUGAUACUCCUCCCACUUCCUUCUAAUUCCCCUAUAAAUUGGUUGCAGGAUUCAGUAUCAGUGCCCACAGCACCCACUCAGACAAAGCUGUGGUCUCACCCUGUGCCCCCCAAAAACCGCUUCGCUGGGGGUUGAGCACCUGCCCACCAUGAAUGGUCUCUGGCGUAUCCCAGGAGCAGAAAGAGCUGCCCGCAAACAAAACCAGCCCCAUCUCAUCACUCUGACUUCCCCGUGAAAAACGGUGCCGGUUAAACCCUGCAUAUCACAUGCACAGUCUAUAUUUAACUUGUGUAUUAAAUGGACAAGGAAUGAGUUUGUCGAGUGGAAUUUGGGAUGGGUGACACAUCAAGGCAGAGGCAGCGCUGGCGAAAUCCAGCUGGUUCAGCCAGGGUCAGUGUUGGCUGCAGUGGGAAGUUUUUUCCCCUUGUUGUGUGGGUUAGUCAUAGGUUUGUUUAUUUUUUUAGAUUUUUUUUCUUAUUCAUCUGUUGCAAUCACAGCAGACACAUCAUUUCACAGCCCUACAUGGAAAUCCAAGUCUAACAAACUAUUUUUAGCACACAAAAUGUCUUCUCUAAAUGUAUUAACUUUGGAAGAGUAAAUAUUAAAUACACUCUCAUUGCAUUAGGAGCAUUUAUGCAGAAGUACAGCACCAGCGUUUUUAAUGGUUAGGGGAAAUUAUGUUAUGCCACUAGCACUUAAUCAAACACAAUAAAACGAGAUCUUACUGCAGUUCUUUCAGGAUAAGUUGAAGGGAAAUUAAUUCAUUUUCACACCCAUUGCUGACGAUUUACUGACACUGAGGCACUUUUGUCCCAUUAGUGUUUAUGGUGGCACUUGCAAUCCUUAUGCAAAACAUGCUGGGGAUAGCCUAACAUUUAUUUUGCAAUUAAACUGAAAUGAUUCUUUGCCUGCUCACUCCCGAUCGAGGCAUUCAGCACCAUCUGUGAGGAGGGUACUACAG
RNAcentral lists this long non-coding RNA (1904 nucleotides) under Columba livia (rock pigeon). Its description in RNAcentral is "partial uncharacterized LOC102093124". The record is from RNAcentral. Lineage: Eukaryota; Metazoa; Chordata; Aves; Columbiformes; Columbidae.